RNAcentral lists this ribosomal RNA (246 nucleotides) under uncultured bacterium. RNAcentral's name for it is "partial 16S ribosomal RNA". It matches the Rfam family "Bacterial small subunit ribosomal RNA", at positions 109 to 353 of the family's 1533-position model. The record is from RNAcentral.
AGUAACGCGUGGGUAACCUGCCUCAUACAGGGGGAGUAACAUUAGAAAUGACUGCUAAUACCGCAUAAGCGCACAGUGCUGCAUGGCACAGUGUGAAAAACUCCGGUGGUAUGAGAUGGACCCGCGUCUGAUUAGCUAGUUGGUGGGGCAACGGCCUACCAAGGCGACGAUCAGUAGCCGGCCUGAGAGGGUGAACGGCCACAUUGGGACUGAGACACGGCCCAAACUCCUACGGGAGGCAGCAUG